GACGAACGCUGGCGGCGUGCCUAAUACAUGCAAGUAGAACGCUGAAGGAGGAGCUUGCUCUUCUGGAUGAGUUGCGAACGGGUGAGUAACGCGUAGGUAACCUGCCUGGUAGCGGGGGAUAACUAUUGGAAACGAUAGCUAAUACCGCAUAAGAGUAGAUGUUGCAUGACAUUUGCUUAAAAGGUGCAAUUGCAUCACUACCAGAUGGACCUGCGUUGUAUUAGCUAGUUGGUGAGGUAACGGCUCACCAAGGCAACGAUACAUAGCCGACCUGAGAGGGUGAUCGGCCACACUGGGACUGAGACACGGCCCAGACUCCUACGGGAGGCAGCAGUAGGGAAUCUUCGGCAAUGGACGGAAGUCUGACCGAGCAACGCCGCGUGAGUGAAGAAGGUUUUCGGAUCGUAAAGCUCUGUUGUAAGAGAAGAACGAGUGUGAGAGUGGAAAGUUCACACUGUGACGGUAUCUUACCAGAAAGGGACGGCUAACUACGUGCCAGCAGCCGCGGUAAUACGUAGGUCCCGAGCGUUGUCCGGAUUUAUUGGGCGUAAAGCGAGCGCAGGCGGUUAGAUAAGUCUGAAGUUAAAGGCUGUGGCUUAACCAUAGUACGCUUUGGAAACUGUUUAACUUGAGUGCAAGAGGGGAGAGUGGAAUUCCAUGUGUAGCGGUGAAAUGCGUAGAUAUAUGGAGGAACACCGGUGGCGAAAGCGGCUCUCUGGCUUGUAACUGACGCUGAGGCUCGAAAGCGUGGGGAGCAAACAAG
This 763-nucleotide ribosomal RNA is filed under the name uncultured Streptococcus sp. Its description in RNAcentral is "bacterial SSU rRNA". It matches the Rfam family "Bacterial small subunit ribosomal RNA", at positions 28 to 776 of the family's 1533-position model. The record is from RNAcentral. Lineage: Bacteria; Bacillati; Bacillota; Bacilli; Lactobacillales; Streptococcaceae.